RNAcentral lists this ribosomal RNA (372 nucleotides) under uncultured organism. RNAcentral describes it as "partial 16S ribosomal RNA". It matches the Rfam family "Bacterial small subunit ribosomal RNA", at positions 527 to 896 of the family's 1533-position model. The record is from RNAcentral.
GUAGGGUCCAAGCGUUAAUCGGAAUUACUGGGCGUAAAGCGUGCGCAGGCGGUUGUGCAAGACCGAUGUGAAAUCCCCGGGCUUAACCUGGGAAUUGCAUUGGUGACUGCACGGCUAGAGUGUGUCAGAGGGGGGUAGAAUUCCACGUGUAGCAGUGAAAUGCGUAGAGAUGUGGAGGAAUACCGAUGGCGAAGGCAGCCCCCUGGGAUAACACUGACGCUCAUGCACGAAAGCGUGGGGGGAGCAAACAGGAUUAGAUACCCUGGUAGUCCACGCCCCUAAACCGAUGUCAACUAGUUGUUGGGGAUUCAUCUCCUUAGUAACGUAGCUAACGCGUGAAGUUGACCGCCUGGGAGUACGGUCGCAAGAUUA